UGUCAAGGGUCUGACAGACACUGAGGUAC
RNAcentral lists this non-coding RNA (29 nucleotides) under Rattus norvegicus (Norway rat). The record is from RNAcentral. Lineage: Eukaryota; Metazoa; Chordata; Mammalia; Rodentia; Muridae.